RNAcentral lists this ribosomal RNA (250 nucleotides) under uncultured bacterium. RNAcentral's name for it is "partial 16S ribosomal RNA". It matches the Rfam family "Bacterial small subunit ribosomal RNA", at positions 524 to 773 of the family's 1533-position model. The record is from RNAcentral.
UACGGAGGGGGCUAGCGUUGUUCGGAAUUACUGGGCGUAAAGCGCACGUAGGCGGACCAGAAAGUAGGGGGUGAAAUCCCGGGGCUCAACCCCGGAACUGCCCUCUAAACUCCUGGUCUUGAGUUCGAGAGAGGUGGGUGGAAUUCCGAGUGUAGAGGUGAAAUUCGUAGAUAUUCGGAGGAACACCAGUGGCGAAGGCGGCCCACUGGCUCGAUACUGACGCUGAGGUGCGAAAGCGUGGGGAGCAAAC